AACAUAAAAAUUGAAGGCCUCAGAGAUCUUGGUGGAUAGGAAUCAUCAGCUGGAGAUUUGCUAUGAAUCCCAUCAAGAGUAGCAAAUAUUUUCUCACAUCACUGGCCAAUACACCAUCUGUAAUCUAAUCUUUUCAAAUCAAAAUAAAUAAAUAAAUAAAGAGCAUGAUGAUGAAGAGUCAGAAUUAACUGCUAAUUGAUAUCAUAUUUAGAAUAAUCAGUGGGAAUCCGUCUGAUUUCUUUCAUCAUCCAUAAUCAUCAUCAUCCUCAUAGAUUUCAUCUUAUAUAAAUUAAAUUUAAACAAAAAAGGAAUGUGUUAUGUAUCUACCUUGUCACCGAUAAUUCCUAGAAAGAGAAGAGGAAAAUCGGAGCUAAAGGCAGAGUAUACAAAAAACCUAAAUUUCAUGUACACAGAUAUCAACCCAUCUCUGUUGCCUAACGAUAGAUCCCUUGAUCAUCUUACCUCCAUAUUGGAGCUGACCAAAGAAUUGCAAUAUUAGGCUUCCGAAUACCAAAUCUUACAGCCUAAGCGGUGGCCCAACAUUAAGAAUAGCAGAAAAUUUUCCACAGAUCUCCUGAGUUUCUGAUAUUCUCACCAAUGCUCUGCUGCCG
This 611-nucleotide unclassified non-coding RNA is filed under the name Hevea brasiliensis (rubber tree). The record is from RNAcentral. Lineage: Eukaryota; Viridiplantae; Streptophyta; Magnoliopsida; Malpighiales; Euphorbiaceae.